Long non-coding RNA from Meleagris gallopavo (turkey), 876 nucleotides. RefSeq lists it as uncharacterized. The record is from RefSeq and is a predicted model, not a curated record. NCBI's taxonomy places the organism in Eukaryota, Metazoa, Chordata, Aves, Galliformes, Phasianidae.
CCGGAGCAAUGUGGGGAAAUGAGACGACCGCAUUCCGGGUGACAUCUGCCGGAGGGCAUGGGGGAAGAAGAGUCAGAGCUUCGCCUCUCUGCCCUGCUUCGAGCGCAGCCGCUAUCUCUGCCUGCCGGGGGAGUGAGCCGAGCUGUGCGGGUGGCCCUUGCCCUGCGAGGGGCUGAAGGGCGAUCACGCUGGCGCAGAUAACUUUCAGAAGGUCAGAGGUAUCGCGGUGGCUGCGGCUGAUCAGUUGUGCUGGCAUUCACAGAUAACAGCUGAUCACGGGUAACAGCUGUCCUGUGCCUUUGUGAAGUCUGCACAAUGCGUGUCUUUACUUCAGUGUCCUCUGGAGAGGGAUAGGGCCCUUCAAGACAGGUGCAGCACAGCUUGACUGCACCCCAAGUGAGUUGGAGCUGAAAGAGCAACUCUCGUAAAUGACCUCAAGAGACUUUAGAGUAUGCCCCUAGUUUGAAAUGAUGGAAAACUUACACCAGAUAUAAGGAAGAAAUAUUUUACAGUAAGGAUGUUGAGGCACUGGAACAGGAUACCUAGAGAGAUGGUGGAAGCCCUGUCUUUGGAGAUGUUCAAGGAACUUGAAAAAGCAAUGAACAAGAGUGGCUUAGACACAGACACAGAAAAAUAAAGUUCUACUCGUUCAGAUUCAGGGUAUGUGGAGAAGAAAAACGAAUCAACAAAUCAUAUGGAUACCCAAAAAAAUAAACAGUACUUGAAUCAACUGCAUUAGGACAGCACAAAACUGAAAAGAUAUUCACUUCGGAAGAGCAACCUCUUAAAAGCUCUCUGAAAUGUUGUGACUUUGUCUUUUGCCUUCACUGUGAUCAGUAUAGGCAAAUAAUUAAAAUAAAUGAAUUUGAAACAUCA